Paramuricea clavata is the source of this 109-nucleotide non-coding RNA. Lineage: Eukaryota; Metazoa; Cnidaria; Anthozoa; Malacalcyonacea; Plexauridae. The record is from the annotation of a GenBank genome assembly.
UCCCAAGGUGAGCUUAAUGAGAACGGAAACCUCCUGUAGAACAAAAGGGUAAAAGCUCACUUAAUAUUGAUGUUCAGUAUGAAUACAAACUGUGAAAGCAUGACCUAUC